AAGAUUAGUAAUGUGAUCCCUCUUAGAGCUUGUUUGGAAUGCACUUGGAUUUGUUUGGUCUUCCAAUUGCUAAAUUAGAAGUUGCAAACACGAUUCUUUGUGCAUUUAAUAGAGGGAUAAAGAAAUUGGGGAUGUAAUGUAAUGGUUAAAGGAAUUUAACUUAUAAAGUUGGAGACUUGUAGAAGAGAUGCAGAAAGCUCCAAGUACACACAACAGCCUCCAAUGGCCUCUUAUCAAGAAUAAUAUAAAAGAAUCUUUUUGCCUUUGGUCUGAGUCAAUUCCUUGAGCUAAUAAAUUAAUUAGUUAAUGCAGUGAGAUUAAGGAUGCAAGGGGUCUUAUUGAUCCUCUGCUUUCUCAAAGGAGCAUUCUGCUCAAAGACAGCAUUUCCCACAAUCAAAUGCACAAAUACCCUUCCAAACAGGAACUAAAAAUUAUACAAUUAAUAAGAUAAGCUCAAAAAAGAUGCAAACUUUAAAGCUUGAUUUCAAAUUUCCCACAAAUUGCAUGAAAAUUAGAGGCAAAAUGAAACAAAUUAAUCAUUGCUUGGAUCUCUGUUACGCAUUCUAUAAACAAUACGGCCUCUAGAGGAAUCGUAUCGACUGACCUCAACCUUGACUCUAUCUCCAGGCAAUAUCCGCACAAAAUUCUUCCUUAUCUUGCCCGAAAUAUACCCUAUAAUCACAUCUGCAUUGUCUAAGCGAACCCUAAACAUACCGUUGGGGAGCGAUUCGGUCACUGAACCUUCAUGGGUCCAUUUCUGCUCCCCAGUUGGAUUGCCUUUUGCAUGUGUUGAAACAUCGAAUCUUGGAGGUGGAGGUGAAAUUGAGAGGUUGAGCGGCGUCGUUUUGAUGACGAUUCCCUGGCUAAAGAAGACUGUUCUCGGAGAAAGAGUGGUCGGUUUUGUAGAGUACGGAGAAGAGAACCCGGGCGCGGCGAGGAUGUGGACUUGGGCGGUGGUGGAGGUCAUCUUCUUGAGAGGCAAAUCGGAAGGUAAAAUUGGAGGGAACGAGAGCUGGGGAAGGAGGAGACACCCAGGCUUUGGAAGAGGAGCGAUGUGUGGUGGAAAGAGGGAGGAACUGAGCCUGCCGA
This 1089-nucleotide unclassified non-coding RNA is filed under the name Hevea brasiliensis (rubber tree). The record is from RNAcentral. Lineage: Eukaryota; Viridiplantae; Streptophyta; Magnoliopsida; Malpighiales; Euphorbiaceae.